Molecule: ribosomal RNA, 435 nt
Filed under: Triticum aestivum (bread wheat)
Lineage: Eukaryota; Viridiplantae; Streptophyta; Magnoliopsida; Poales; Poaceae
Description: partial small subunit ribosomal RNA
Source: RNAcentral
AUGGAUCGAACUGGCAACCUCUGCGUAACUCAAAAAUCGAUUUGCACCAAGCUGUACACUGGUACUACGGGUGAAAACAGGAGAACCGUUUCCCUCCUGCUCGGCAAGGAGGAGAGAGAGGCCACGCCCAUCAGUGAAGGCGUGGAGCGGUUGGAGCUGGCGCACAUCAAACUAGAGGCCGCACUCGAGGCAUCUUGCAAGUGGUCAAUCGUAGACGCGUCCUUGGUGCGUUGGCGCAAGAUGCUGAAGCGGGCUGCCGACGAGUGUGACGGAGAACUGCAAAGAUGUCGCCGACGCGCCAUGGAAAGGCAGGAAACCGACGAGGAGGUAAUGAACUCCUCCUUCCCUAGGUGGAUCACUCAUGCUACCAUGUCAUACAUAUCCUCUCGAGUUGAGAGCAAAGAACCACCAUGGCUUGCAGGCAGAGCAGAGUAA